GGAAUGAAGCCUACUUGAUCUUGGUGGAUGAUUUUUCUGAUGUGCUCUUGGAUUUAGUUUGAUCCCCACAUUGUGGAAGGAAGGAGAAGACACUGUCUUCUGAACUCCAAACAUGUCCCGUGGCAUAUAUGGGCUUCCUCCACCUCCAAAAGAAAUGAUUGAUCGAAUGAAUAAAUAAAUACAAAAGAAAGUUAAAAGUUAAAUAAAUAUAGAAUUAAAGAAGAUGUCACUGUUCACUGCCUUGAUUUCAUCAUCACCUCUUUAUAGGUCCAAGUAACGUUCACUGCAUGAGCAUGUGCAAACUCAGUGGUUACACCCCUGAAGAAAAAUGGCUCCCCCUUCACCAAGAAGGCAUCAAUUGUCAAUGGCACCUUAGAUGGCGGAGAGGGGAUGUGCUCAUGUGUACACCCACUAACCAUAUUGGAAUUGACUGGCUUAAUCUUGCAAACAUUUUGGUCAGUUCUAGACGAGGCCUCAUGGGGGAGCUGCUCUCUCACUGUAGAUAUGCCAGAUCUGUCGUCUCUAACAAGGACUGACCUUUAUGGAUUGGAAUGAAACAUGACUUUUGCUUCAGAGACAAAGAUUGAUCUGCCAUUCAAUCGCUUAGAAAUUUCUAUGAAUCACGUUGGUGCAGCUCGAAGACAGUGAAGAUUGCUGCUCUUAUCGAUGACCCAAAGCAUCAAAGAGCCUCACAGUACCCACUGGAUCCUACAGAAGAAACAACAGGCUUGGAAAGAUGAAGGAGCUGAGAGAAGCUCUGAAUGAUAACCAGCAAGGAAAUGGACUUUUAGACUCAUAACUACAAGCAACAUAACCCUGUCAACACUGUGAACAUGAAAGUUGAUUCUCUUCUAGAGUCUCCAAUAUGAAAAACAGCCUUACCAGCAUCUUGGGGGGAGCCAGACUAAUAUGGUUUGAUGAAGGAAGACCCCUGAAGCAGUGGCCCAGGUGAUUCAACAUCCACGACACCUGGGGCAGUGCAGCCUUGAAGACUACUACAGCCAGGAUUUGGACAGGAAUGGUGCAAUUGCAUGUUGUUCAAUUUCCACGAGUUGGUUCAUUGUAGUAAUGAAUAUUUUAAAUUCAUCUUGUAUGAGUCAGCUCUGAACUGCUAGCUCUAUGAGAUGCUGGACCAAGCCAAAUAAGCUCAGAAGUACGAGCUUCAUAAGGAUAAAUUGUGAACUUUGAGAGGAGGAAAACAGUGGAAUAAAGAUAAGAGAGACAAAGAUGCAACUGAUACAGUCAUUAAGGGGAUGGCCAUUUCUACUCUGCUGUGGUGCUAAAACCCACAUAAUUCUCAAAUGCUGUCCCAAACUGACUUCUGAUGACACUACUCUGCCACUAAUGGAGAGUGGAAAACCUGCCUAUCCUCAUUUCCAUGUAUAUGAUAGGAACUUGGGAUUAUCAUUUACUAAGGAAUUAUGUGACCAUGUGACCCUGUGACCCCUUACCCAAACUCUUGAGGUUACUCACAAACUUUUCCUGGAGAGACAACAUACUCUUCUAAUCACCUCAGAGAAGGAGCCCAUGAGAGAACAAAGCAAUGAUUGCACCAGUGUCCAAUGUGGGCAAAUGUUUCACUUUGGAGAUAAUAUUGCAAUUCAGAGGAACAAGCCCAACAACAUCCUCACAUCAGCAUGCAUAUCACCCUUUUGUGACUAUGAAAGCAGGACCACACGAAAAGAUUCCAAUUCACAUAAAGAAUUAAUCCAAAUGGGCCUGUCAAUCACCUGGACAAGAAAACACCGCUCAAAGAGCCAUAACUGAAAGAAACAUGAUAUACAUGAAGACCAGCUAAGGUUUUGUAGGAUGGAAUCUGUUGAAGUGCUCGGCUAUGCUGCAGUAAUGAAUUAGCUCUUAAAUCUAAUGCAAGUUGGAGGAAUCUGAUGUGCACAUGUAUACUCUGAGAUGACUAAGUAAUCACACUGUCCAUUAUCUGAUUCUGCCACUUCAGCUGCAUAUACUUUAUAAUGAGAUGCUAUGGGAAGGAAGGCCUAGAGAAUCAUUUUCCCUUCCCUCCUCUCCUCCAAUUCCCUCCCCUGCCUCCCCGCUGCCACCCCCAUCCAUUCCUCCACUGUCUCCCUUCAGAAAGGGGCAGGCCUCCUAUGAGCAUCAACAAAGCAUGGCAACAUCAAGUUGAAGCAGGACCAAGCUGCCUCCCCCACCUGUAUCAAGGCUGGGAAAGGGUUCCCACAAGUCAGCUCAAGUGCCAGAGACAAACAAACCAAGUUACACUAUUGUCACACACAUGCAGAGAGCAUAGGGAAAUCUUUUUGGGCCCACUUGCUACCUGGAUUCUCUGGGACUGCAGAUUAUAUCAUGAUUUUCCAUGCUUUAUACAAUUUAAUAUCCAGUCAUGAGUCUUGCUUAAAUUUUUGGCUACCAGAGAAGUGCAACUCAAUACAACUCUGAGAUACCAUCUUACACUGACCAGAAUGGCUAAAGUGAAAAACACCAAUGACAGUCUAUGCUGGAGAGGAUGUGGAGGAAAAGGAACACUCCUCCAUUGCUGGU
Non-coding RNA from Cricetulus griseus (Chinese hamster), 2514 nucleotides. Lineage: Eukaryota; Metazoa; Chordata; Mammalia; Rodentia; Cricetidae. The record is from RefSeq and is a predicted model, not a curated record.